AGCCUUUCUUCAGUCUGUUGGCUGUUUUCUUUAUUGACAGUCCGCUUGAUUUCUCUUCUCACAGGAACAGAGAAAGUUCUUUGCCGUAGGAAUGUCUGAUGAUUAGCUGGCAUCUCUCUUAAGUCAUAGAUCACCACAAACAUCUUCACCACAGUUUUGUUAGGGUUAAAUAAGGUCACUUGUAUCGUUCCUGAAGGCGGUACCCGAUAACCCCUUUUACCAAGG
This 225-nucleotide long non-coding RNA is filed under the name Gallus gallus (chicken). Lineage: Eukaryota; Metazoa; Chordata; Aves; Galliformes; Phasianidae. The record is from RNAcentral.